Molecule: ribosomal RNA, 429 nt
Filed under: Chloroflexota bacterium
Lineage: Bacteria; Bacillati; Chloroflexota
Description: Chloroflexi bacterium partial 16S ribosomal RNA
Rfam family: Bacterial small subunit ribosomal RNA
Source: RNAcentral
UGGGGAAUAUUGCACAAUGGGCGCAAGCCUGAUGCAGCCAUGCCGCGUGUGUGAAGAAGGCCGUCGGGUUGUAAAGCACUUUCAGCGGGGAGGAAGGCGAUAAGGUUAAUAACCUUGUCGAUUGACGUUACCCGCAGAAGAAGCACCGGCUAACUCCGUGCCAGCAGCCGCGGUAAUACGGAGGGUGCAAGCGUUAAUCGGAAUUACUGGGCGUAAAGCGCACGCAGGCGGUCUGUCAAGUCGGAUGUGAAAUCCCCGGGCUCAACCUGGGAACUGCAUUCGAAACUGGCAGGCUAGAGUCUUGUAGAGGGGGGUAGAAUUCCAGGUGUAGCGGUGAAAUGCGUAGAGAUCUGGAGGAAUACCGGUGGCGAAGGCGGCCCCCUGGACAAAGACUGACGCUCAGGUGCGAAAGCGUGGGGAGCAAACAGG